AUAAUUUUCUCUCUUGAUAUGAGAAGAUAAAACCAAACAUUCUCCCUCAAACUCUAAAACGAAGUUCCCCUACUAUCAAAAUCACCAGAGCCUAAUUUCUUCAUCUUCUUGUCUUCUCUUGGAUUGUGUAUGCAUUGAUACUUAUAAAGCCGCUAUCGAGGAGCAUCAAACUUCUAUAGCAGGCAAGAUUAAUUCUGAAGACUGAUAAUACACCGGCUACCUGCAGGUGGUAAAGGAUCAAAUUAAUCAUUGUUUGAGUCGUCAAUUCGUGUUUGACGAUGAGAGUGAAAAAAGCUAUGCUGGUGCAUUUACCAUUUUGGAAGCGCUUAACUUUUUACGAGCUAGAGGAGCCUCAACAGAUCCUACACGAGUAGUUGCUCCUGUUUCUCCUUUUGAGUACCAGGUUUGUGAUUAUGUGGUCAAAAUUGCUGCUUAUAGUCUAAGUAACAAACACAAGAGAGUAUCAAUGAGUUCUUGAAGAGCUGUGAGAAGUACAACUUGCAAAAGCAGAGAAGCUCAACAUUGUUAAAAGUUAAAACAUUAGGCCGUCAACUCAAGUGGAAAUUGACCCGAUUAUUAAAGAGUGUCAGAAAUGCUUGGCAGAUGAAGAAGUUGAGGAGUUGGUGGAGCUGAUAUCAAAUUUAUUGUGUCCACUAAAUCCUGAAGGUAUAGAUGAGGGUAAAGGAAUUCUUGAUGGUUUCUGAAUGUAAGGUAAAGAUGAUGUUAAAGGAGCUCCAGAUGAGGAAGGUACAGCAGGAUUUUUUGACGGCUUUCUACUGAAAGAUACAGAUGCGGAUAUAGAACUAUAAUUCUCUAUCAACUUUAUGGGAACUGUAAACAAUCAACCAACUGCUAUCUUUCUCAACCUUUUCAUGUCAGCUGUCUUGGUAUUAAGAGGUUUUUUACCUUGGCAAAGCUAAAACCCGUUGGUCGGAAUCGGGUUACAGAGUUUCAUCUAAUACGCGGUUGAAAGCUUUUGAGUUUGUUGACACUGGUGAAUUCUGAAUUUAUUCAACUCAUGGAUGAUGGAGAGUUAGAUUUCUCUUAACCAAAUCUAGCCAACGUGCUCCUGCAAGUAUAGUGAGUGAAAAAAAGCCUGUCAAGCUUCAGUAGAGAUGGAUUUAUGAACUUGAGAAUCAUAAACCAGUAGUUGUUAAAAAGUUUGCGGGGUCAAGUUGCUGUUGAGCAAGAGUUAGCUAGAUAUAAGUGUCUGCUUGUGGACAUUAGCGGAAGUAUCAAAGGAGAAGUUGGAUCAGUUCAUUAUGAAUCUUCACAGAUGUAGGAUCAGAA
Papaver somniferum (opium poppy) is the source of this 1290-nucleotide long non-coding RNA. RefSeq lists it as uncharacterized. The record is from RefSeq and is a predicted model, not a curated record. The transcript has 7 exons. NCBI's taxonomy places the organism in Eukaryota, Viridiplantae, Streptophyta, Magnoliopsida, Ranunculales, Papaveraceae.